AUCAGUAAGUAUACAAAGUUUGAAGACGUUUACAUGAAGGUGAUUGCUAGAUAGUAUACUUCAAAAUAAGGUUUCCGUUUUUAUAACGUAGAAAAACUAUCCUAACGCAAAACUAAACCCUAACCCUAAUACUAACCCUACCCCUAACCCUAACCUUUUAACCUAACCCCUAACCUUAUUUUAAAAAUUGAUAUAAAAACGGAAACCUUAUUUUGAAGUAUACUAUCUAGCAAUCGCCUUU
Paramuricea clavata is the source of this 241-nucleotide non-coding RNA. Lineage: Eukaryota; Metazoa; Cnidaria; Anthozoa; Malacalcyonacea; Plexauridae. The record is from the annotation of a GenBank genome assembly.